GCAGUCGAGCGAAUGGAUUAAGAGCUUGCUCUUAUGAAGUUAGCGGCGGACGGGUGAGUAACACGUGGGUAACCUACCCAUAAGACUGGGAUAACUCCGGGAAACCGGGGCUAAUACCGGAUAAUAUUUUGAACUGCAUAGUUCGAAAUUGAAAGGCGGCUUCGGCUGUCACUUAUGGAUGGACCCGCGUCGCAUUAGCUAGUUGGUGAGGUAACGGCUCACCAAGGCAACGAUGCGUAGCCGACCUGAGAGGGUGAUCGGCCACACUGGGACUGAGACACGGCCCAGACUCCUACGGGAGGCAGCAGUAGGGAAUCUUCCGCAAUGGACGAAAGUCUGACGGAGCAACGCCGCGUGAGUGAUGAAGGCUUUCGGGUCGUAAAACUCUGUUGUUAGGGAAGAACAAGUGCUAGUUGAAUAAGCUGGCACCUUGACGGUACCUAACCAGAAAGCCACGGCUAACUACGUGCCAGCAGCCGCGGUAAUACGUAGGUGGCAAGCGUUAUCCGGAAUUAUUGGGCGUAAAGCGCGCGCAGGUGGUUUCUUAAGUCUGAUGUGAAAGCCCACGGCUCAACCGUGGAGGGUCAUUGGAAACUGGGAGACUUGAGUGCAGAAGAGGAAAGUGGAAUUCCAUGUGUAGCGGUGAAAUGCGUAGAGAUAUGGAGGAACACCAGUGGCGAAGGCGACUUUCUGGUCUGUAACUGACACUGAGGCGC
Molecule: ribosomal RNA, 716 nt
Filed under: Bacillus mycoides
Lineage: Bacteria; Bacillati; Bacillota; Bacilli; Caryophanales; Bacillaceae
Description: bacterial SSU rRNA
Rfam family: Bacterial small subunit ribosomal RNA
Source: RNAcentral